UACGUAGGGUGCGAGCGUUAAUCGGAAUUAUUGGGCGUAAAGCGUGCGCAGGCGGUUCGUUGUGUCGGUGGUGAAAGCCCCGGGCUUAACCUGGGAAUGGCCAUGGAAACUGGCGAACUGGAGUGUGGCAGAGGGGGGUGGAAUUCCGCGUGUAGCAGUGAAAUGCGUAGAGAUGCGGAGGAACACCGAUGGCGAAGGCAGCCCCCUGGGCUAGCACUGACGCUCAGGCACGAAAGCGUGGGGAGCAAACAGG
This 253-nucleotide ribosomal RNA is filed under the name uncultured bacterium. RNAcentral describes it as "partial 16S ribosomal RNA". It matches the Rfam family "Bacterial small subunit ribosomal RNA", at positions 524 to 776 of the family's 1533-position model. The record is from RNAcentral.